UACGAAGGGGGCUAGCGUUGUUCGGAAUUACUGGGCGUAAAGCGUAUGCAGGCGGACUUUUAAGUCGGGGGUGAAAUCCCGAGGCUCAACCUCGGAACUGCCUUCGAUACUGGAAGUCUUGAGUCCGGGAGAGGUGAGUGGAACUCCGAGUGUAGAGGUGAAAUUCGUAGAUAUUCGGAAGAACACCAGUGGCGAAGGCGGCUCACUGGCCCGGUACUGACGCUGAGGUGCGAAAGCGUGGGGAGCAAACAGG
RNAcentral lists this ribosomal RNA (253 nucleotides) under uncultured bacterium. Its description in RNAcentral is "partial 16S ribosomal RNA". It matches the Rfam family "Bacterial small subunit ribosomal RNA", at positions 524 to 776 of the family's 1533-position model. The record is from RNAcentral.